RNAcentral lists this ribosomal RNA (502 nucleotides) under uncultured Massilia sp. RNAcentral describes it as "bacterial SSU rRNA". It matches the Rfam family "Bacterial small subunit ribosomal RNA", at positions 8 to 507 of the family's 1533-position model. The record is from RNAcentral. Lineage: Bacteria; Pseudomonadati; Pseudomonadota; Betaproteobacteria; Burkholderiales; Oxalobacteraceae.
AGAGUUUGAUCCUGGCUCAGAUUGAACGCUGGCGGCAUGCUUUACACAUGCAAGUCGAACGGCAGCGCGGGGCAACCUGGCGGCGAGUGGCGAACGGGUGAGUAAUACAUCGGAACGUACCCAGAAGUGGGGGAUAACGUAGCGAAAGUUACGCUAAUACCGCAUACGUUCUACGGAAGAAAGUGGGGGACCUUCGGGCCUCAUGCUUUUGGAGCGGCCGAUGUCUGAUUAGCUAGUUGGUGAGGUAAAGGCUCACCAAGGCGACGAUCAGUAGCUGGUCUGAGAGGACGACCAGCCACACUGGGACUGAGACACGGCCCAGACUCCUACGGGAGGCAGCAGUGGGGAAUUUUGGACAAUGGGCGCAAGCCUGAUCCAGCAAUGCCGCGUGAGUGAAGAAGGCCUUCGGAUUGUAAAGCUCUUUUGUCAGGGAAGAAACGGCUGAGGAUAAUACCUUCGGCUAAUGACGGUACCUGAAGAAUAAGCACCGGCUAACUACGUG